Molecule: ribosomal RNA, 429 nt
Filed under: bacterium
Lineage: Bacteria
Description: partial 16S ribosomal RNA
Rfam family: Bacterial small subunit ribosomal RNA
Source: RNAcentral
UAGGGAAUCUUCCACAAUGGACGCAAGUCUGAUGGAGCAACGCCGCGUGAGUGAAGAAGGUUUUCGGAUCGUAAAGCCCUGUUGUUGGUGAAGAAGGAUAGAGGCAGUAACUGGUCUUUAUUUGACGGUAAUCAACCAGAAAGUCACGGCUAACUACGUGCCAGCAGCCGCGGUAAUACGUAGGUGGCAAGCGUUGUCCGGAUUUAUUGGGCGUAAAGCGAGCGCAGGCGGAAUGAUAAGUCUGAUGUGAAAGCCCACGGCUCAACCGUGGAACUGCAUCGGAAACUGUCAUUCUUGAGUGCAGAAGAGGAGAGUGGAAUUCCAUGUGUAGCGGUGGAAUGCGUAGAUAUAUGGAAGAACACCAGUGGCGAAGGCGGCUCUCUGGUCUGCAACUGACGCUGAGGCUCGAAAGCAUGGGUAGCGAACAGG